CAUGGGGGNAACCCUGNAUGCAGCGACGCCGCGUGAAGGGAAGAAAGUAUCUCCCNUAUGUAAACUUCUAUCAGCAGGGNAAGAUAGUGACGGUACCUGCACUAAGAAGCCCCGGCUAACUACGUGCCAGCAGCCGCGGUAAUACGUAGGGGGCAAGCGUUAUCCGGAUUUAUUGGGUUUAAAGGGAGCGUAGAUGGAUGUUUAAGUCAGUUGUGAAAGUUUGCGGCUCAACCGUAAAAUUGCAGUUGAUACUGGAUAUCUUGAGUGCAGUUGAGGCAGGCGGAAUUCGUGGUGUAGCGGUGAAAUGCUUAGAUAUCACGAAGAACUCCGAUUGCGAAGGCAGCCUGCUAAGCUGCAACUGACAUUGAGGCUCGAAAGUGUGGGUAUCGAACAGGAUUAGAUACCCUGGUAGUCCAAGGGCGAAUUC
RNAcentral lists this ribosomal RNA (427 nucleotides) under uncultured bacterium. RNAcentral describes it as "SSU rRNA". It matches the Rfam family "Bacterial small subunit ribosomal RNA", at positions 370 to 808 of the family's 1533-position model. The record is from RNAcentral.